CGUGGCGGUGGCGGGUACCGGCCCGGCGGAGAAGUGGAACCUAGGGACUGGUGACCCGGGAUUGGGGGCUGGAAGAUUAACUGGGGGAAGCCCCGCAGGUCACCAGUCAGCUAGAUGCUUCCAGAGUGCAUUCAGUGGAGUCUGAAGCCAGGCACCCACCCCUCCUCCUAGGGUGAAACUGGGUUUAAUUCACCAAGUGGAUCUUUAUCUUCGGGCCAACUGUUGAGUGUCUGCCCUUUGCCAGCCGUUCUAGGGCGUGUUUGCGUUGUUGAGCUCAUUCAGUCGUGCUGUUUUUAGUAUCCAGAAUUCAAAAUUCUGAAAGCCUGUGGGCGGUACUAUUAUUUUGCUGCUAUAAGAAAUAAUGAGAGGAAGCUCAUUAGAUUGUGUUUACAUGUAGAGGUAGCUUCCUCGUUGCGUUUUAUUUUAAGGUUUUUUACAACGCGUUAAAAGGAGUUUUAAAAAUUCUAUUUUUGUUUGCUCUGUCGACCAACUGUGAGAUGUAGCAUUAGAAGGGAAUGAAUUGCCUUUUCAGAUUUUAAUUACAAAGAUAUUUGGGGACUGCCUUAGGGUGUUUAAAUUUCAUUUUUUUCUGUAAGGAAAUUUAAUGUUUUAGCAUUAAAUGAUCAUUAGUAUGUAAACAAGUGAACUAAGUACAAGAACCCAAUGCCAAAAAUAUGUCAAGUAUUUUGACCUACUUUUUAGCAGUUGUAGUGCAUGUUGUGAUUAGUGGGUGGAAGGGAGUUUUGUAAUAACAAAAAUAAACUUCUGCUAAACUUUA
Molecule: long non-coding RNA, 778 nt
Organism: Marmota monax (woodchuck)
Lineage: Eukaryota; Metazoa; Chordata; Mammalia; Rodentia; Sciuridae
Exons: 2
Source: RefSeq, a predicted model, not a curated record